Molecule: ribosomal RNA, 640 nt
Filed under: uncultured Tricholomataceae
Lineage: Eukaryota; Fungi; Basidiomycota; Agaricomycetes; Agaricales; Tricholomataceae
Description: eukaryotic LSU rRNA
Rfam family: 5.8S ribosomal RNA (bases 238-391)
Source: RNAcentral
CUUGGUCAUUUAGAGGAAGUAAAAGUCGUAACAAGGUUUCCGUAGGUGAACCUGCGGAAGGAUCAUUAUUGAAAUAAACCUGAUGGGUUGUUGCUGGCUCUCUAGGGAGCAUGUGCACACCUUGUCAUCUUUAUAUCUCCACCUGUGCACCUUUUGUAGACAUCUUUCCAGGUGUCUAUGUUGAUUCUUCAUUUACCCCAAUGUAUGUCAAUAGAAUGUUGUGUCCAUAAUAUAUACAACUUUCAGCAACGGAUCUCUUGGCUCUCGCAUCGAUGAAGAACGCAGCGAAAUGCGAUAAGUAAUGUGAAUUGCAGAAUUCAGUGAAUCAUCGAAUCUUUGAACGCACCUUGCGCUCCUUGGUAUUCCGAGGAGCAUGCCUGUUUGAGUGUCAUUAAAUUCUCAACUCUGAUCGAUUUGUUUCGACUUCGGAGCUUGGAUUUGGAGCGUGCUGGCGUCGGUCGGCUCCUCUUAAAUGCAUCAGCGGAAUCUAACGUUUCGGACGUCAGUGUGAUAAUCAUGUUGCGCUGUCUGUCUGAUCUGAAAGCCCGCUCACAAUGGUCUUCGGACAACUUCAUAUCAAAUUUGACCUCAAAUCAGGUAGGACUACCCGCUGAACUUAAGCAUAUCAAUAAGCGGAGGA